Molecule: long non-coding RNA, 274 nt
Organism: Orbicella faveolata
Lineage: Eukaryota; Metazoa; Cnidaria; Anthozoa; Scleractinia; Merulinidae
Source: RefSeq, a predicted model, not a curated record
AGACCUGCCCCACCCAAGAUUAAGAAGCAGCAGGAAGAGCUUGAAGACCAGAUCGCCAGAAUUGGUUCAGGAAAGCAAGUUGCAAGUGUUAUUGUUGAUGAUGGCAAGGAUCAAGAUGACGAGGAUGAUACUUUUGUGGUUGAAGAUCCAAAUGCAAUUCAAAAUGAUGUAGACUUGGCUCCAGCAGGAGAAGUUGCAGAAGAUGAUGGCGAACAUGGUGGUCUUGUUAGGAAAAUUCUUGAAACAAAGAAAGAACUUGAAGGUGGUGGAAACC